Molecule: ribosomal RNA, 372 nt
Filed under: uncultured organism
Description: partial 16S ribosomal RNA
Rfam family: Bacterial small subunit ribosomal RNA
Source: RNAcentral
GUAGGUGGCAAGCGUUGUCCGGAAUUAUUGGGCGUAAAGCGCGCGCAGGCGGUUCUUUAAGUCUGAUGUGAAAGCCCACGGGCUCAACCGUGGAGGGUCAUUGGAAACUGGAGAACUUGAGUACAGAAGAGGAAAGCGGAAUUCCACGUGUAGCGGUGAAAUGCGUAGAGAUGUGGAGGAACACCAGUGGCGAAGGCGGCUUUCUGGUCUGUAACUGACGCUGAGGCGCGAAAGCGUGGGGAGCAAACAGGAUUAGAUACACUGGUAGUCCACGCCGUAAACGAUGAGUGCUAAGUGUUAGGGGGUUUCCGCCCCUUAGUGCUGCAGCUAACGCAUUAAGCACUCCGCCUGGGGAGUACGGCCGCAAGGCUG